Molecule: long non-coding RNA, 467 nt
Filed under: Ananas comosus (pineapple)
Lineage: Eukaryota; Viridiplantae; Streptophyta; Magnoliopsida; Poales; Bromeliaceae
Description: long non-coding RNA (ACOM_LNC035046)
Source: RNAcentral
CAUCUGAAACGGUGGUAAAUGUUUUAGCACGAUCCCGUCGAUCCCGUCUGAAACGGAAACAGGGUAGAAGAAAAAUCAAGGUCACGACUGUAACGGACAUGAGAAAAACAUGAGAAUCAAUGUCGUGAGGAGGCGGAGCGACUUACGGUUUCGAGCGGAGAAGAAGGAAACGGUGAGAAGAAUCACGAUCGUGAGGAGGCGGAGCGACUUAGGUUUCGAGCGGAGAAGAAGGAAGCGGUGAGAAGAAUGACGAUCGUGAGGAGGCGGUCGGUUUGAGAAGUUUAGAUAGUGAAUGGUUUGGUUCGGUUCGGUUCGGUUUAGAGAGAGUCAGUUAAUUGGUAUUUGUUCGGUUUGAGAAGUUUAGAUAGUGAAUGGUUCGGUUCGGUUUAGAGAGAGUCAGUUAAUUGGUUCGGUUCAGAUUUUUAGAGACAACGGUUCUUCGGUUCAGUUUUAAUUGGUUCGGUUUU